GUGUAAGGAAUAUGUCAAUUGGUAAAGUAUGAGACUAUUAAUCUCAGGAUCGUGGGUUUGAGCCCCACGUUGCGCA
Podarcis lilfordi (Lilford's wall lizard) is the source of this 76-nucleotide non-coding RNA. The record is from the annotation of a GenBank genome assembly. Lineage: Eukaryota; Metazoa; Chordata; Lepidosauria; Squamata; Lacertidae.